ANAGUUUGAUGCUGGCUCAGAUUGAACGUUGGCGGCAGGCCUAACACAUGCAAGUCGAGCGAGAAAGCACCUCGGUGUGAGUACAGCGGCGGACGGGUGAGUAACGCGUAGGAAUCUACCCGGUAGUGGGGGACAACUUGUGGAAACGCAAGCUAAUACCGCAUACGCCCUAUGGGGGAAAGCGGGGGAUCUUCGGACCUCGCGCUAUCGGAUGAGCCUGCGUAGGAUUAGCUAGUUGGUGGGGUAAAGGCUCACCAAGGCGACGAUCCUUAGCUGGUCUGAGAGGAUGAUCAGCCACACUGGGACUUAGACACGGCCCAGACUCCUACGGGAGGCAGCAGUAGGGAAUAUUGGACAAUGGGGGAAACCCUGAUCCAGCAAUGCCGCGUGAGUGAAGAGGGCCUUUGGGUUGUAAAGCUCUUUCACCUGUGACGAUAAUGACGGUAGCAGGAUAAGAAGCCCCGGCUAACUCCGUGCCAGCAGCCGCGGUAAGACGGAGGGGGCUAGCGUUGUUCGGAAUGACUGGGCGUAAAGGGUGUGUAGGCGGUUUCUUAAGCAGGGUGUGAAAGCCCUGGGCUCAACCCAGGAAUUGCGCUUUGAACUGAGGAACUAGAGGACGGAAGAGGGAAGUGGAAUUCCUAGUGUAGGAGUGAAAUCCAUAGAUAUUAGGAGGAACACCGAAGGCGAAGGCAGCUUCCUGGUCCGUAUCUGACGCUGAGACACGAAAGCGUGGGGAGCGAAUAGGAUUAGAUACCCUAGUAGUCCACGCCGUAAACGAUG
RNAcentral lists this ribosomal RNA (780 nucleotides) under uncultured Alphaproteobacteria bacterium. Its description in RNAcentral is "bacterial SSU rRNA". It matches the Rfam family "Bacterial small subunit ribosomal RNA", at positions 8 to 811 of the family's 1533-position model. Lineage: Bacteria; Pseudomonadati; Pseudomonadota; Alphaproteobacteria. The record is from RNAcentral.